Molecule: ribosomal RNA, 716 nt
Filed under: Escherichia coli
Lineage: Bacteria; Pseudomonadati; Pseudomonadota; Gammaproteobacteria; Enterobacterales; Enterobacteriaceae
Description: partial 23S ribosomal RNA
Rfam family: Bacterial large subunit ribosomal RNA
Source: RNAcentral
GGCGAGGGGAGUGAAAAAGAACCUGAAACCGUGUACGUACAAGCAGUGGGAGCACAGAGCAAUCUGUGUGACUGCGUACCUUUUGUAUAAUGGGUCAGCGACUUAUAUUCUGUAGCAAGGUUAACCGAAUAGGGGAGCCGAAGGGAAACCGAGUCUUAACUGGGCGUUAAGUUGCAGGGUAUAGACCCGAAACCCGGUGAUCUAGCCAUGGGCAGGUUGAAGGUUGGGUAACACUAACUGGAGGACCGAACCGACUAAUGUUGAAAAAUUAGCGGAUGACUUGUGGCUGGGGGUGAAAGGCCAAUCAAACCGGGAGAUAGCUGGUUCUCCCCGAAAGCUAUUUAGGUAGCGCCUCGUGAAUUCAUCUCCGGGGGUAGAGCACUGUUUCGGCAAGGGGGUCAUCCCGACUUACCAACCCGAUGCAAACUGCGAAUACCGGAGAAUGUUAUCACGGGAGACACACGGCGGGUGCUAACGUCCGUCGUGAAGAGGGAAACAACCCAGACCGCCAGCUAAGGUCCCAAAGUCAUGGUUAAGUGGGAAACGAUGUGGGAAGGCCCAGACAGCCAGGAUGUUGGCUUAGAAGCAGCCAUCAUUUAAAGAAAGCGUAAUAGCUCACUGGUCGAGUCGGCCUGCGCGGAAGAUGUAACGGGGCUAAACCAUGCACCGAAGCUGCGGCAGCGACACUAUGUGUUGUUGGGUAGGGGAGCGUUCUG